Molecule: ribosomal RNA, 425 nt
Filed under: uncultured bacterium
Lineage: Bacteria
Description: partial 16S ribosomal RNA
Rfam family: Bacterial small subunit ribosomal RNA
Source: RNAcentral
GUGGGGAAUAUUGCACAAUGGAGGAAACUCUGAUGCAGCGACGCCGCGUGAGUGAAGAAGUAAUUCGUUAUGUAAAGCUCUAUCAGCAGGGAAGAUAGUGACGGUACCUGACUAAGAAGCUCCGGCUAAAUACGUGCCAGCAGCCGCGGUAAUACGUAUGGAGCAAGCGUUAUCCGGAUUUACUGGGUGUAAAGGGAGUGUAGGUGGCAUCACAAGUCAGAAGUGAAAGCCCGGGGCUCAACCCCGGGACUGCUUUUGAAACUGUGGAGCUGGAGUGCAGGAGAGGCAAGUGGAAUUCCUAGUGUAGCGGUGAAAUGCGUAGAUAUUAGGAGGAACACCAGUGGCGAAGGCGGCUUGCUGGACUGUAACUGACACUGAGGCUCGAAAGCGUGGGGAGCAAACAGGAUUAGAUACCCCGGUAGUCC